AUGAACGCUGGCGGCGUGCCUAAUCCAUGCAAGUCGCGCGAACAGACGAGGAGCUUGCUCCUCUGACGUUAGCGGCGGACGGGUGAGUAACACGUGGAUAACCUACCUAUAAGACUGGGAUAACUUCGGGAAACCGGAGCUAAUACCGGAUAAUAUAUUGAACCGCAUGGUUCGAUAGUGAAAGACGGUUUUGCUGUCACUUAUAGAUGGAUCCGCGCCGCAUUAGCUAGUUGGUAAGGUAACGGCUUACCAAGGCAACGAUGCGUAGCCGACCUGAGAGGGUGAUCGGCCACACUGGAACUGAGACACGGUCCAGACUCCUACGGGAGGCAGCAGUAGGGAAUCUUCCGCAAUGGGCGAAAGCCUGACGGAGCAACGCCGCGUGAGUGAUGAAGGUCUUCGGAUCGUAAAACUCUGUUAUUAGGGAAGAACAAAUGUGUAAGUAACUAUGCACGUCUUGACGGUACCUAAUCAGAAAGCCACGGCUAACUACGUG
This 496-nucleotide ribosomal RNA is filed under the name uncultured bacterium. Its description in RNAcentral is "partial 16S ribosomal RNA". It matches the Rfam family "Bacterial small subunit ribosomal RNA", at positions 29 to 507 of the family's 1533-position model. The record is from RNAcentral.